Non-coding RNA from Karstenula rhodostoma CBS 690.94, 102 nucleotides. The record is from the annotation of a GenBank genome assembly. NCBI's taxonomy places the organism in Eukaryota, Fungi, Ascomycota, Dothideomycetes, Pleosporales, Didymosphaeriaceae.
GGCGCUUUGACGGAGUGGUUAACGUGAUUGACUCGAAACGGCUGGAAACGCCAUAGCUAUCAAUUUCCUUCGGGAGCGCAGGUUCGAAUCCUGCAGGCGUCG